RNAcentral lists this ribosomal RNA (484 nucleotides) under uncultured bacterium. Its description in RNAcentral is "partial 16S ribosomal RNA". It matches the Rfam family "Bacterial small subunit ribosomal RNA", at positions 30 to 507 of the family's 1533-position model. The record is from RNAcentral.
AUUGAACGCUGGCGGCAGGCCUAACACAUGCAAGUCGAGCGGAUGAAGGGAGCUUGCUCCUGGAUUCAGCGGCGGACGGGUGAGUAAUGCCUAGGAAUCUGCCUGGCAGCGGGGGAUAACGUCCGGAAACGGGCGCUAAUACCGCAUACGUCCUGAGGGAGAAAGUGGGGGAUCUUCGGACCUCACGCUCUCAGAUGAGCCUAGGUCGGAUUAUCUAGUUGGUGGGGUAAAGGCGUACCAAGGCGACGAUCCGUAACUGGUCUGAGAGGAUGAUCAGUCACACUGGAACUGAGACACGGUCCAGACUCCUACGGGAGGCAGCAGUGGGGAAUAUUGGACAAUGGGCGAAAGCCUGAUCCAGCCAUGCCGCGUGUGUGAAGAAGGUCUUCGGAUUGUAAAGCACUUUAAGUUGGGAGGAAAAGCAGUAAGUUAAUACCUUGCUGCUUUGACGUUACCAACAGAAUAAGCACCGGCUAACUUCGUG